Molecule: long non-coding RNA, 564 nt
Filed under: Actinidia chinensis (golden kiwifruit)
Lineage: Eukaryota; Viridiplantae; Streptophyta; Magnoliopsida; Ericales; Actinidiaceae
Description: long non-coding RNA (ACHI_LNC002833)
Source: RNAcentral
ACUUUUAUAAAUAAUGAAAAGGCCAUUAAAUUAAACUAUAUAUUUGGGUUAAGGUCCAUAAAAUUAGGGUUUAUGAGUGAAGAUUUUAUUCUUGGAUAAUAUUACCCUCCUUCGUAACUUAAAUAUAAAAGACCAAAAUAAAAAAAAAAUAUUCUAAAAUAGAUCUCAGCAUCUCUCUCUACUUUCUCUCCAUACUACAACCAAACCACCAUCAUCACCACAAACACAUUGCUAUCGUCGCCACAACCACACCAUCGUCGCUAUCGUCGUGCCACAUCGUCAUCGCCCCCCCCCCCCCCCCCCCCCCCCCCGCAACAUUACCCCCACCCGGCCCCACCGCUUGCAAAUCUCUCUUAGAUUUGAUAUCUAAAACACCACCACGACAUUCCACCACCACAAGGCCACACCACCUUCACUGUCGUUACUAUCACACUGAAAUUGUAGUUGCUGCCACUACCGCAUUUUCUUCAUUGCUCUCUCUCUCUGUCAAAUCUAAGAUCUACAAUACCGCCUUGUCUUAUCACCACCAUCAUCCGUCUUCACCGGUGUCAAGUUUCUUUUUUC